Molecule: transfer RNA, 82 nt
Filed under: Chloroflexota bacterium
Lineage: Bacteria; Bacillati; Chloroflexota
Also listed under: 3 other names
Description: tRNA-Leu
Rfam family: tRNA
About the family: Transfer RNA (tRNA) molecules are approximately 80 nucleotides in length. Their secondary structure includes four short double-helical elements and three loops (D, anti-codon, and T loops).
Source: RNAcentral
GCCGAAGUGGCGGAAUAGGCAGACGCGCACGACUCAAAAUCGUGUUCCCUCGGGAAUGUGGGUUCGAUUCCCACCUUCGGCA